GCUCGGCCAGGCCGCCGCCGCCAUGGCCACCAUCGCCCCCGUGGCCAUCGUCACCCCCGAGCGCUAGGACCGCGCGAGGAGCACCGCCUCCGUCCGUAGCUUCGUCCUCACCCACGGGAGCAAGCCCGGAGUCAGCACUGCGCCGGCUCAGCCUCUUCUUCCUCCUCGGGCGCCGCCGCGCUUAGUCACCGAUUCUGGCGCCGCUAGGCCUCCCCGAGCUCGCUAUGCUCAACUACGAGACCGUUGUGGAUUAGGGAUCCCGAGUGACCCCUUAGUCCCAGUUGCCGCUGCUUGAUCAUCGAAGACUCGACGACAUGAAGACACGGAGGCCCGAAGAUUCAAUCAACCAAUCGACAAGCCAUGACCCGUCACAUCACUUCACACCCCCUAUUGUAUGACCCUGCAGAGCUACUAUCAAGCACAGAGGGUGAUACCUCAUAAUGUACUUCUAAUGUUAACUCUGUAGUGUAGUUAACUGGAGGUG
Long non-coding RNA from Hordeum vulgare subsp. vulgare (domesticated barley), 484 nucleotides. RefSeq lists it as uncharacterized. The transcript is spliced from 2 exons. Lineage: Eukaryota; Viridiplantae; Streptophyta; Magnoliopsida; Poales; Poaceae. The record is from RefSeq and is a predicted model, not a curated record.